ACCUGGCUGGCUCAGUCCGUAGAGCAUGUGGCUCUUGAUCUUGGGGUUGUGAGUUCGAACUCCACGUUGGGUA
RNAcentral lists this transfer RNA (73 nucleotides) under Ailuropoda melanoleuca (giant panda). It matches the Rfam family "tRNA". From Rfam's summary of the family: Transfer RNA (tRNA) molecules are approximately 80 nucleotides in length. The record is from Rfam by way of RNAcentral. Lineage: Eukaryota; Metazoa; Chordata; Mammalia; Carnivora; Ursidae.